This is a long non-coding RNA of Gastrolobium bilobum, 591 nucleotides long. RefSeq lists it as uncharacterized. The record is from RefSeq and is a predicted model, not a curated record. Lineage: Eukaryota; Viridiplantae; Streptophyta; Magnoliopsida; Fabales; Fabaceae. The transcript is spliced from 3 exons.
GCUCUGUUUGUAGCUCUUCAAAACUAAAAUUGUUGCCAUUGUGCCAUGGAAUGGUGUAGUCAUUGUUGCAGGUUUUGUCAAACCAGAGUUGAAGGCAUCGCUGAUGAUUUUCCCUGCAAAUUUUUCUGCACUUGUACUUUGUGUGGGAAGGUUCUGUUUGACUGGAGUAUGCCAUUCAAACAUGUAUUUUCAUAUAGGAGGAGGAAAAAAUGUUUUAGAAGAAUGAAGAGACUGAUGAAGACAAAGCGUUAUGCAAAAGCUAAGAAAAGGGACAAAUCUUCCUAUUAUUAUAAAGGAUCAUGAGAUACAGCUUCUAAGGGUCCUAUUAUGAAGGAAGAGAUGCAAGCUGUAAAUUCUGACACAACUAAGACUUCUGAUAACUAUUGAAGAGGCUGAUAACUAUUGAAGAGGCUUAGUCCUGUGUUGCAUAGUAUCAGUAUGCUUCAGAUUGAAUAGCUUGCUAAUUUGACAUUAAAUAGAGUAGAGUGAUUGUUGGAUGUCUUAGGAUUUAUGUUAGUUUUUCUUUGCUUAGGGACAUCCAUGUGGCUAUGUUCCUGGUAUCAAAGGUUGAAAAAUGUAAAGAUUGCAUGA